Molecule: non-coding RNA, 106 nt
Filed under: Desulfofustis glycolicus
Lineage: Bacteria; Pseudomonadati; Thermodesulfobacteriota; Desulfobulbia; Desulfobulbales; Desulfocapsaceae
Also listed under: 1 other name
Description: TPP sequence
Rfam family: TPP riboswitch aptamer (THI element)
About the family: Vitamin B(1) in its active form thiamin pyrophosphate (TPP) is an essential coenzyme that is synthesised by coupling of pyrimidine and thiazole moieties in bacteria. The previously detected thiamin-regulatory element, thi box was extended, resulting in a new, highly conserved RNA secondary structure, the THI element, which is widely distributed in eubacteria and also occurs in some archaea. Analysis of operon structures identified a large number of new candidate thiamin-regulated genes, mostly transporters, in various prokaryotic organisms.
Source: RNAcentral
ACGGUGGCCGAGGGGAGUCUUCCGACUGAGAAUCUCACCUACGUGAGAUGACCCUUUGAACCUGAUCCGGUUAAUACCGGCGGAGGGAACGGACCGAGAACCUGUA